CAACCAAUUAGAGAGCAGUAUGAUGCCACAUCACUCCAGCUUUGUCGAAACCUAGCAUGUCUCAUAGUCUUCACCUUCUAUGUUUCUAUGUGUUUCUAACUUCUCUGAUUCUCAUGUGUAACGUCGGGGGCCAACUCAUAAAACCCUUUUAUUUACUGAAACAAUCGAGACGAAGAAACUGUUGAGAAUCCCUCUGCUUUUCACUUAUUUAUACCCAUAUUCUCAUUCUCUUCCCCUAGCCAAAAUAUUGAAACUGUAUAAGCACCUCAGAAAAUGGCUUCCAAAUCUGCAAAAUCAAUGGGGAAGGCUACAACAAGGUUUUCUUUCUCGAAAAUUUGUUUUAGGGUUCUUCGAAAUUGGCUUUUCUAGGAAAAGCUUCCAUUGACUUUGCAGAAUUCCUUACAGAAGGAGACCCAUUAAUUGUAUCCCUUCCUCUCAAGUUUUCCAACUCUGGUGCUGUCUUGAAUGUAAUCUCUCUUCUCUUUUUCUUUUAAAGCAUUAGUAAGAAGAAAUAGUUCUUCAUUGUUGUGUGCAGGUUACGAUUGAGAAGAUCCAAGGAGGCAAUGAUUUAAGUUAUUGCAGAUUUUUCAAGAUGAAAAUAAGGUCAAUACUUUCCAAAGUGGAUAGCUUCAGAAGCCUACCGAGCAAUGAUUAUUUAGAGGGAUAUAACGAAGACGAAUUGAGCUUAAAUGUUAACAUGGCUUAGACUGUUGGUCUAGGAGGUUCAACUGAUUCCAUUGGUGAAUCACGUGGAUGGAUGGUUCGGAAGGGAAUGCACACUCGCCAGUUCCGGCAUCAAUAACGCAUUAUUGUUUAUUAAAUCCUGGGUACAAAUCAAAAUCCAUAAAACCACGAACAUGGAAGAAUAAAGUCCAAACCUCUCUAGGUACCCAAAGGAGUUGGAACUGAUUCCAAUGAAGGUUUCGACCUCAGUAGACUGAAACGUCCCAUGCUUCGUCUCCACAAUCCUCAUCUCAAAAACAAGAUCCGUGGAGAUAUUGGAGAGAACUGGUGCUGACAAAAGGUUCAUAUAUUGUACUUGGGUAGAAGAACAUGAUGAUUAUGAGUUUGUCACGGAAUCUCAUUAUCAGAUGUUGUCAACUUCUUGGAUGGUAUGUGAGAAUAGUUUUUCUUUUCCAAGUUUAUAUUAAUGUCUCAGUUGUUACUGUUUGUUGUUCCCAUGAUUAUAUUAAAGAGGAUGCUCAUGAUUCAAUGGUGUACAGUUACUAGCAUGGCUUCUCAGGUUUUGAGGAAAAGCUUACGAAGUCCCAAGCUCAGCAAAUAGCAGGUACUUUGUCUUAAGUCUCAUCUUUUCUUGGGUUUCUUAUUAAAUAAGGUUUUUAUUUACUUAAACUGCAUAGCAAACCAUCUCUUCAACUUUCUUUAACUGAUCACCCACGUCAUAUGCGUGUCUUUUAUUCCUUAACACCACAUCUAGCGACACAUGUCUACUUUGACAAACAUACAGCAGCUGGCAAGAGCUUUUUCAGAGGUAUGUAUAUUUGACAUCAUCCAUUUUGUAGUUGAGAAGCUAUCCCAGACUUUUAAACAUUUUAUCAGUUCGAAAUACCACCGUACAAUGCAUUAGGUUGGAGUCUAAUGCCGACACUAACCCGGGAGCAGUAUCCACCUCAGCAGAUUAAAUCAACCAAUUAGAGAGCAGUAUGAUGCCACAUCACUCCAACUUUGUAGAAACCUAGCAUGUCUCAUAGUCUUCACCUUCUAUGUUUCUAUGUGUUUCUAACUUCUCUGAUUCUCAUCUGUAACGUUGGGGGCCAACUCAUAAAACCCUUUAUUUACUGCAACAAUCGAGACCAAGAAACUGUUGAGAAUCCCUCUGCUUUUCACUUAUUUGUACCCAUAUUCACAUUCUCUUCCCCUAGCCAAAAUAUUGAAACUGUAUAAGCACCUCAGAAAAUGGCUUCCAAAUCUGCAAAAUCAAUGGGGAAGGCUACAACAAGAAGGAGACCCAUUAAUUGUAUCCCUUCCUCUCAAGUUUUCCAACUCAAGAAUUCCAUACAGCAGCUGGCAAGAGCUUUUUCAGAGGUAUGUAUAUUUGACAUCAUCCAUUUUGUAGUUGAGAAGCUAUCCCAGACUUUUAAACAUUUUAUCAGUUCGAAAUACCACCGUACAAUGCAUUAGGUUGGAGUCUAAUGCCGACACUAACCCAGGAGCUGCUCCGUUCAGUCGUGUUUUUGCAAAGAUAUAUUGGGAAUGUGUUAUCACCUAUGCACCUCUGCCUUAUUAGUUGACCAUAAAGAUAACCACAAUGGUUCUGUCAUAAAAGGGAGGCAACGGUGAAUCUGGUGAUGAUAUGCCUGGAGUGGCGUCAGUGACUUACAAACCCCGCGUUGGUUACUGACAAUGCAGCUGACUCAACUGGUGGCCCAAGUGUAGGUUGUAAAUCACCCACCAAGAUCUUGCUCUCACCUGGCUUCAACGCAACCAAGAAAGUCCCGCAUGGCAUAAAAUCCGAGAGGAUUCACUUUUUUCCCCAACCCCAGCUUUUAAAAUAAUGCAACAGCAGCUGGUUUUCUUUUUUUCAUUUCGUCCCCACGCAGCUUAAACGUGUUUUCACAUUUCAGUUAACUUUAGUAUAAUUUUAUUUCAAGCUCAUAAACUUUCCGGUC
Brassica oleracea var. oleracea is the source of this 2630-nucleotide long non-coding RNA. RefSeq lists it as uncharacterized. The transcript is spliced from 6 exons. The record is from RefSeq and is a predicted model, not a curated record. Lineage: Eukaryota; Viridiplantae; Streptophyta; Magnoliopsida; Brassicales; Brassicaceae.